Molecule: ribosomal RNA, 1578 nt
Filed under: Triticum aestivum (bread wheat)
Lineage: Eukaryota; Viridiplantae; Streptophyta; Magnoliopsida; Poales; Poaceae
Description: partial small subunit ribosomal RNA
Source: RNAcentral
AUGAACCGGCAAUGGAUGUACGGUGACAGACACACCCGCGAGUACAUUAAGGGCGUGCAUGAGUUUCUCGAUGCGGCUGAGGCAAACAAGCAGAAUGGUUUUAUGUGUUGUCCAUGCACUGAAUGUGGGAAUACGAGGUCUUACUCUAACCGGAAAAUCCUUCACUCCCACCUGCUUUACAAGGGUUUCAUGCCACACUAUAAUGUUUGGACAAGGCACGGAGAAAUAGGGGUUAUGAUGGAAGACGGCGAAGAAGAAGAGUACGAUGACAACUAUGUGCCCCCUGAAUACGGUGAUGCUGCAACGGAGGGAGCUGGUGAAGAUCAAGAGGAACCAGACGAUGAUGUGCCCAAUGAUGCUGCCACGGGUGAAGCUGCUGAAGAUCAAGAGGAACCAGACGAUGUGCCCGAUGAUGAUGAUCUCCGCCGGGUCAUUGUCGAUGCAAGGACGCAAUGCAUUAGUCAAAAGGAGAAGCUGAAGUUCGAUCACAUGUUAGAGGAUCACAAAAAAGGGUUAUACCCCAAUUGCGAAGAUGGCAACACAAAGCUCGGUACCAUACUAGAAUUGCUGCAGUGGAAGGCAGAGAAUGCUGUGGCUGACAAAGGAUUUGAGAAGCUACUGAAAAUAUUGAAGAAGAAGCUUCCAAAGGAUAACGAAUUGCCCGACAGUACAUACGCAGCAAAGAAGGUCGUAUGCCCUCUAGGAUUGGAGGUGGAGAAGAUACAUGCAUGCCCUAAUGACUGCAUCCUCUACCGCGGUGCAUACAAGGAUCUGAACGCAUGCCCGGUAAGCGGUGCGUUGCGGUAUAAGAUCAGACGAGAUGACCCCGGUGAUGUUGACGGCGAGCCCCUCAGGAAGAGGGUUCCUGCGAAGGUGAUGUGGUAUGCUCCUAUAAUACCACGGUUGAAACGUCUGUUCAAAAACGAAGAGCAUGCCAAGUUGAUGCGAUGGCACAGUGAGAACCGAAAGAAAGAUGGGAAGUUGAGAGCACCCGCUGACGGGUCGCAGUGGAGAAAAAUCAAGAGAAAGUACUGGGAUGAGUUUGCAAAGGACCCAAGGAAUGUAUGGUUUGCUUUAAGCGCGGAUGGCAUUAAUCCUUUCGGGGAGCAGAGCAGUAAUCACAGCACCUGGCCCGUGACUCUAUGUAUGUAUAACCUUCCUCCUUGGAUGUGCAUGAAGCGGAAGUUCAUUAUGAUGCCAGUUCUCAUCCAAGGCCCUAAGCAACCCGGCAACGAAAUUGAUGUGUACCUAAGGCCAUUAGUUGAAGAACUUUUACAGCUGUGGAAUGGAAACGGUGUACGUACGUGGGAUGAGCACAGACAGGAGGAAUUUAACCUUAAGGCAUUGCUGUUCGUGACCAUCAACGGUUGGCCCGCUCUCAGUAACCUUUCAGGACAGACAAACAAAGGAUACCACGCAUGCACGCACUGUUUAGAUAACACUGAAAGUAUAUACCUGGACAAAUGCAGGAAGAAUGUGUACCUGGGCCAUCGUCGAUUUCUUCCGACCAACCAUCAAUGUCGAAAGAAAGGCAAGCAUUUCAAAGGCGAGGCAGAUCACCGGAAGAAGCCCGCCAUG